UACGGGAGGCAGCAGUGGGGAAUAUUGCACAAUGGGCGCAAGCCUGAUGCAGCCAUGCCGCGUGUAUGAAAAAGGCCUUCGGGUUGUAAAGUACUUUCAGUCGUGAGGAAGGUGUUAAGGUUAAUAACCUUAGCAAUUGACGUUAGCGACAGAAGAAGCACCGGCUAACUCCGUGCCAGCAGCCGCGGUAAUACGGAGGGUGCGAGCGUUAAUCGGAAUUACUGGGCGUAAAGGGCACGCAGGCGGUUAAUUAAGUUGGAUGUGAAAUCCCCGGGCUUAACCUGGGAAUGGCAUUCAAGACUGGUUAGCUAGAGUCUUGUAGAGGGGGUAGAAUUCCAUGUGUAGCGGUGAAAUGCGUAGAGAUGUGGAGGAAUACCGGUGGCGAAGGCGGCCCCCUGGACAAAGACUGACGCUCAUGUGCGAAAGCGUGGGGAGCAAAACAGGGAUUAGAUACC
This 455-nucleotide ribosomal RNA is filed under the name uncultured bacterium. RNAcentral describes it as "bacterial SSU rRNA". It matches the Rfam family "Bacterial small subunit ribosomal RNA", at positions 340 to 786 of the family's 1533-position model. The record is from RNAcentral.